RNAcentral lists this long non-coding RNA (750 nucleotides) under Mus pahari (shrew mouse). RNAcentral describes it as "lncRNA (MGP_PahariEiJ_G0012110.1)". Lineage: Eukaryota; Metazoa; Chordata; Mammalia; Rodentia; Muridae. The record is from RNAcentral.
CAGCACAGUCUCUCAGCUUCUUCCAGUCUCAAUGCGGGGAACUCGAGCUGAACUUGAUCCCUUUGCAGUUCAAAGGUAGGGAUGUGUAAGUCUCAUGGAAGAAGUGGAGAAGUAGGCAUUCAGUAGGCAGUUAGCACCUGGAUAAGAUGCACGGGGAGAACCACCUCACUCUUCAAGGCACCAGAGAUGUACAGGAAUAAGGCAAAGGUUCUUCAUGAAUAAAUAUUCAGCCAGGGAUGAGAGUCCAAAUUCUUGAGAAAAUAGUGAACCAGUCUUGAAUAAAUAUAGAAAUGUAUGAAGACUUUCAUAUGAGUCCAGAAGCCUAAAAGAGAACUGCUUUGAAGAAAUUGAGACCAAACUGGAUGGCCAGAAGUGUAAACCAAGCCAACAAGAAGGACACACUUCAAACAGGUCACCAUAAUUAUCAAUGACAGAUGAUGGAAGCCAGAAGUGACACACAAGUUUUCAUUCCUGUUGACCAUUUCUCCACGACAUUUACAAAAUUGUUCCAUUGUAUAGUAAAGCAUUACUUUCCUGCCAUGUUUUCUUUAUGAGAAAUGAUAACAGACAAUGAUUAAUAACAUGUACCUUAAAUUGCACAUAAGUAGGAUUGUCCCUGUUACAAAUUUUCCCCUUCAUAUGAAUAUGUAUAGACUUUCCUAACAUGCCCCAACCUUUCUAUGAGGUAAAUAUAUCACUUGGGAAAGUUCUCUUUUCCUACACGAGGUAAUAAAAAUCCAUUUUUCACAC